RNAcentral lists this ribosomal RNA (219 nucleotides) under Photorhabdus sp. S15-56. Its description in RNAcentral is "partial 23S ribosomal RNA". It matches the Rfam family "Bacterial large subunit ribosomal RNA", at positions 1 to 211 of the family's 2925-position model. RNAcentral also lists the same sequence under 1 other name. Lineage: Bacteria; Pseudomonadati; Pseudomonadota; Gammaproteobacteria; Enterobacterales; Morganellaceae. The record is from RNAcentral.
GGGUUGUGAGGUUAAGCGACUAAGCGUACACGGUGGAUGCCUAGGCAGUCAGAGGCGAUGAAGGACGUGCUAAUCUGCGAAAAGCGUCGGUGAGCUGAUAUGAAGCGACAGAGCCGGCGAUGUCCGAAUGGGGAAACCCAGUGCAAUGCGUUGCACUAUCAUUAACUGAAUUCAUAGGUUAAUGAGGCGAACCGGGGGAACUGAAACAUCUCAGUACCC